Molecule: long non-coding RNA, 212 nt
Filed under: Capsicum annuum
Lineage: Eukaryota; Viridiplantae; Streptophyta; Magnoliopsida; Solanales; Solanaceae
Description: long non-coding RNA (CANN_LNC006800)
Source: RNAcentral
GCAAAUCUAAAAACGUUAUGAUCAUAAAACAUGAGUAAUAAGACAUACUGAAUAAACUUAGUGAGUCAUUGCAUUUAGUUUCAAAAACCUUUACUUGUAGUAUUUCUUGAGGGAGAUUCUUCUAACCAACAUAAACCAUGUGAGUUAUCAUGGAGUCCAAUGUUUUACCCAUGUUGGAGAAAGUUGUCCUACCCUUGCCAUCAGAAUAGGAC